Molecule: ribosomal RNA, 440 nt
Filed under: uncultured bacterium
Lineage: Bacteria
Description: partial 16S ribosomal RNA
Rfam family: Bacterial small subunit ribosomal RNA
Source: RNAcentral
GACGAACGCUGGCGGCGUGCCUAAUGCAUGCAAGUCGCACGCGGCACCUUCGGGUGCUGAGUGGCGAACGGCUGAGGAACACGUGGGGACCUGUCCGGGAGUGGCGGACAACACCGCGAAAGCGUUGCUAAUCCCGCAUACGCCCUGAGGAGGAAAGCCGAAAGACGCUCCCGGGUUGCCCUGCGGCCCAUCAGGUUGUUGGUGGGGUGACUGCCUACCAAGCCAAUGACGGGUUGCCGGUGUGUGAGAACGACCAGCCAGACUGGGACGGGGACACCGCCCAGACGCGUACGGGAGGAGGCAGCAAGAAGAUUUAGGCGAUGGGCGCAGGAGUGACCGAGGAACGGCGCGUGCAGGAAGCCGGCGGUCGGGUUGUAAACUGCUGUUGCUAGGGAUGAUAACGGACGGUACCUGGGGAAUAAGCCCCGGCUAACUCUGUG